GGCCAGGUAGCUCAGUCGGUAGAGCAGUGGACUGAAAAUCCUCGUGUCGGUGGUUCGAUUCCGCCCCUGGCCA
This 73-nucleotide transfer RNA is filed under the name Gammaproteobacteria bacterium. RNAcentral describes it as "tRNA-Phe". It matches the Rfam family "tRNA". From Rfam's summary of the family: Transfer RNA (tRNA) molecules are approximately 80 nucleotides in length. The record is from RNAcentral. RNAcentral also lists the same sequence under 3 other names. Lineage: Bacteria; Pseudomonadati; Pseudomonadota; Gammaproteobacteria.